This 362-nucleotide long non-coding RNA is filed under the name Urocitellus parryii (Arctic ground squirrel). Its description in RNAcentral is "lncRNA (ENSUPAG00010022104.1)". The record is from RNAcentral. Lineage: Eukaryota; Metazoa; Chordata; Mammalia; Rodentia; Sciuridae.
CCUUUCGAGAAAACCUGCCGUCCUCUGCCCCCUGGUAAGCGGGGCAAGAAGCUACAAGGAUCGAGAGAGUUAGACAGCACCUCCUCCCCUACUAGGUGAGGCAUUUAGCCUCUCUCCACCUCUCCAGCAGGCUUCUUCAAAGACACCUCAAGUAAACAUACCAUGGAAAGCAGAGGCACAAACUGUGAGGAAGGACCUGUUUCCUGGGAGUUAAAAGCAGGCCUCCGAGUUAGGACUCAAAAAGUGAAACUAACCUACAAACCCAUGAAACCUGAUAUGAAGUGCAGAACCUGGGGCUGGGGAUGUGGCUCAAGCGGUAGCGCGCUCGCCUGGYAUGCGUGCGGCCCAGGUUCGAUCCUCAG